UUCGGCUCAGUAACACGUAGCUAACCUACCCUUAAGUCGAGGAUACUCUCGGGAAACUGAGGUUAAUACUCGAUAGGAGAUGUACCCUGGAAUGAUUCAUCUCUCAAAUUCGAGCUUAAGGAUGGGGCUGCGGCGGAUUAGGUUGUUGGCGGGGUAAAAGCCCACCAAGCCGAUGAUCCGUAAGGGCUCUUAGCGGAGAGGCCCUGAGAGGGAAUCUGAGACACUAUUCCCAGCCCUACGGGGUGCAGCAGUUAGGAAUCUUCUGCAAUGCGCGCAAGCGUGACAGAUUGAGUCAGAGUGCUUUUCAUAUGAAAAGCUUUUGCCAAAUGUAAAAAGUUUGGCGAAUAAGGACUGGGUAAGACGGGUGCCAGCCGCCGCGGUAAUACCCGCGGUCCAAGUCGCAGCCAUCAUUAUUGGGUCUAAAACAUCCGUAGCUUGCUUGAUAAGUUUCUUGUGAAAUUCCAUGUCUCAAAUAUGGAGCGGGCAAGAAGUACUGUUAAGCUAGAGACUGGAAGACGUAAGAAGUACGUUUGGAGUAGCGGUAAAAUGUGUUAAUCCCAGACGGACUAACAACAGCGAAGGCAUCUUACGAGGACAGUUCUGACAGUAAGGGAUGAAGGCUAGGGGCGCGAAAGGGAUUAGAUACCCCUGUAGUCCUAGCAGUAAACACUGCACACUAAACAUUAGUACCUCCUCGAGAGGUGUUAGUGCUGAAGAGAAGUCGAAGAGUGUGCUACCUGGGAAGUAUAGUCGCAAGGCUGAAACUUAAAGGAAUUGGCGGGGGAGCAC
RNAcentral lists this ribosomal RNA (789 nucleotides) under uncultured euryarchaeote. RNAcentral's name for it is "bacterial SSU rRNA". It matches the Rfam family "Archaeal small subunit ribosomal RNA", at positions 83 to 879 of the family's 1478-position model. Lineage: Archaea; Methanobacteriati; Methanobacteriota. The record is from RNAcentral.